This 142-nucleotide ribosomal RNA is filed under the name uncultured Clostridium sp. RNAcentral's name for it is "partial 16S ribosomal RNA". It matches the Rfam family "Bacterial small subunit ribosomal RNA", at positions 347 to 507 of the family's 1533-position model. The record is from RNAcentral. Lineage: Bacteria; Bacillati; Bacillota; Clostridia; Eubacteriales; Clostridiaceae.
CGUAGAUAAGGGAAUAUUGCACAAUGGGGGAAACCCUGAUGCAGCAACGCCGCGUGAGUGAUGACGGCCUUCGGGUUGUAAAGCUCUGUCUUCAGGGACGAUAAUGACGGUACCUGAGGAGGAAGCCACGGCUAACUACGUG